This 161-nucleotide ribosomal RNA is filed under the name Triticum aestivum (bread wheat). RNAcentral describes it as "rRNA SSU_rRNA_eukarya". It matches the Rfam family "Eukaryotic small subunit ribosomal RNA", at positions 1667 to 1823 of the family's 1831-position model. Lineage: Eukaryota; Viridiplantae; Streptophyta; Magnoliopsida; Poales; Poaceae. The record is from Rfam by way of RNAcentral.
CACCGCCCGUCGCUCCUACCGAUUGAAUGGUCCGGUGAAGUGUUCGGAUCGCGGCGACGGGGGCGGUUCGCCGCCCCCGACGGCGCGAGAAGUCCAUUGAACCUUAUCAUUUAGAGGAAGGAGAAGUCGUAACAAGGUUUCCGUAGGUGAACCUGCGGAAG